GGGGCCGUAGCCCAGCUGGGAGAGCGCUUGACUGGCAGUCAAGAGGUCGCGGGUUCGAAUCCCGUCGGCUCCA
Molecule: transfer RNA, 73 nt
Filed under: Caldifarciminota bacterium
Lineage: Bacteria; Pseudomonadati; Caldifarciminota
Description: candidate division WOR-3 bacterium (sediment metagenome) tRNA-Ala
Rfam family: tRNA
About the family: Transfer RNA (tRNA) molecules are approximately 80 nucleotides in length.
Source: RNAcentral